GAUCAUGGCUCAGGAUGAACGCUAGCUACAGGCUUAACACAUGCAAGUCGUGGGGCAGCAUGGGAGAUGCUUGCAUUUCCCGAUGGCGACCGGCGCACGGGCGAGUAACGCGUAUCCAACCUGCCCUUCACUCCGGCACAGCCCGUCGAAAGGCGGAUUAAUGCGGGAUGCAGUCAGAAAGAUGCAUAUUAAUUUGACGAAAGGCCUUCGGGCCGGUGAGGGAUGGGGA
Molecule: ribosomal RNA, 229 nt
Filed under: uncultured bacterium
Lineage: Bacteria
Description: partial 16S ribosomal RNA
Rfam family: Bacterial small subunit ribosomal RNA
Source: RNAcentral